RNAcentral lists this long non-coding RNA (1793 nucleotides) under Homo sapiens (human). Its description in RNAcentral is "non-protein coding LINC00982:19". The record is from RNAcentral. Lineage: Eukaryota; Metazoa; Chordata; Mammalia; Primates; Hominidae.
CCGCGCGGCGCUGGCCGCUUCGCUGCAGCCGGGGCUUCGGCGGGGCUGCGGGAGCCGCGCUGGCCGGGCCGCGGCUCCGCCUGUCCUCACCUGCCCGCCCGCCUCACCGCGGAUGGCGCCGGCGACCGGGGCUGCGGGGUGCGCGCGGGCUGCUCGGAGGCGCUGUGGCGGGCGAGGGCGCGGGUGGCUGGAGCACCCGGCCCGCGGCAAGGACCGGCUGGCGGCAGGCGGGGCGCGCGGAGCCCGGGGCUCGGCCGAGACGGAGCGAAAGAGAAACGCAGCUCGGAACUGGCCCUUUAAGAAAACAUUCCGUGUUCGGCGCUCCCGCCCGGGGCCCGCACCCCGGACACUUUAAAAGGACCCAGGUGGCCCCGGAGGCGAGGUGACUAUCCCCCCACCCUGCCCCUGCGUCGCGGCGCGUCGCGCUGCUGCUCCCGCCCCAGCCGGGGCCGAAGAUGGGGCGGCGGCUGCGGUUUUCCACACGACUUCCUUGGAUCUCGGGGCACACGCGCCGAUAGUUCGGACGCGAGUCCGGGCUGGUUUUGCUCCGUUUUACUGCGUUUGAUUACUAAUUUAAAAGCUUUGCGUUCCCCGUCGCCCCGGCCCGCUUUUCUCCUGCAUUCUCCCCUCGGCCCCCGUCCCCGCCCUGCGAUCGCUGGAGGGGGCGUCGGGGCUCGCGCGCCAGAACCCGGCUCCUCCGAAGCCCCCUCCGGGCCCCACCGCCCCCCUCGCGCCUCCCGGCCCCCGCCUCCUCCCCUUCGCCCCCACCCAACGGCUGCUGCUUCGGGCUUCGCGGCUCAAAAACAACAGCGGAGGCGCCGCCAGCUCCGCGCUCCGCCACUGCCCAGGCCGGCGGGCGGCACUCGGACCCGCCGCCCUCGGUCCCUCGCGAGGCCACGGAGGCCAACACGCCUCGCACGGGGGGACAGCGCGGGGGCAGCCGUCCAAACACCAGGCGUCCUCGGCUGGUCGUCCCAGGGCGCCCGCACCUCUCCGCCCGCGCUCUCCUGCCGCCGCGCCCCCAAGCCCCCAAACUCCGAGGCGCUGCGGCGGAGGGGCCGGGCUGAGCGCAGGCAGGGUGGCCCGGGCCCAGGAGCCUGACGGCCUGAGUGCGGAUUUCUCAUCUGAGUAUCUGGGAAUCGAGAAUGAAUUGGAAGGAAACCGAGGCGCUGCCCUGGCCAGGUUGCUGCCCCGCACCCUUCCGGAGCACCGAAGUCCUGCCCGGCAACGGGACUUGGAGCUGCCGCAGAGUCAGCCUGAGCCCGAGGCAGGGGUCGCGCCCGCGAUGCGGGGUCUCUGCGCCGCCCCGCGAGGCUCCUGGCCUUGCCCUCCCUGCCCUUUGUUGUGUAAUAAGACCUGUGGCGGCUCCACUGAGACCCACACGUGCAACUCCGCGCCUCCGCGUUAAAGGAGGUGAAACGCAGCAGCCCUGAGAAACCCCGAGACCCCGGUGUCCUAGCAGAGGCGCCCCGGAUGGGGAGGGGCGCGGGGCCGGCGCCACCCCAGAGGAAAAGCCCAGCGGAGCCGGGUUGGGCAGGAGCUGGCGGCGGCGGUGCGCUGGGCCUUCUGCCUUGGAUCCUCCGCGGUCGGCACCGCUUCCCUGCUCAGAUUCGAACCCAGAUUCGGCUCCCAAGGCUCCCACGGCUCCAGGGUGCCCAGUCUUGCAGCCAGCUCGCCGCCCGAGCCCCGGAUGGAGGAAGCGCUCACUGGCCGCUACCUCUGCUGUUUCUGGCACCAGAUGGGCAGCUUCCGGGGACCGGCUUGCACGAUGCCGUGGCCACCCCAGUGGAGAC